UAGUUCCUACGGGGGGCAGCAGUAGGGAAUCUUCCACAAUGGGCGAAAGCCUGAUGGAGCAACGCCGCGUGGGUGAAGAAGGUCUUCGGAUCGUAAAACCCUGUUGUUAGAGAAGAAAGUGCGUGAGAGUAACUGUUCACGUUUCGACGGUAUCUAACCAGAAAGCCACGGCUAACUACGUGCCAGCAGCCGCGGUAAUACGUAGGUGGCAAGCGUUAUCCGGAUUUAUUGGGCGUAAAGGGAACGCAGGCGGUCUUUUAAGUCAGCGGUCAAGGCCCGGGG
RNAcentral lists this ribosomal RNA (282 nucleotides) under uncultured bacterium. Its description in RNAcentral is "partial 16S ribosomal RNA". It matches the Rfam family "Bacterial small subunit ribosomal RNA", at positions 333 to 607 of the family's 1533-position model. The record is from RNAcentral.